Macrosteles quadrilineatus (aster leafhopper) is the source of this 4714-nucleotide long non-coding RNA. RefSeq lists it as uncharacterized. NCBI's taxonomy places the organism in Eukaryota, Metazoa, Arthropoda, Insecta, Hemiptera, Cicadellidae. The record is from RefSeq and is a predicted model, not a curated record. The transcript has 3 exons.
UGCAUGUACAUUACAUAUUUUUGGUCGAGUUUUCAACCACUGGACGACCACUAGUUUAUCUUAAAUCGUAGGCUUGAAAGUUCGAUUAGUUGGCUAAAGAUAAACUGAACAAUACUAUUUGCCGCCACAAACAUGGUUAGUUGAGCUGGGCUGAUUCCAAUUUUUCUCUCUGCUCCUUUUAGGACGGCUGUGAUAUUUGGCAACUCAUGUUCUACCUGAACUUCGUUGGGGUAUAGUUACAUGACUUCAAAAUGAAUACAUUGCCCAAUUCUAACUUAAAAGUAUUUCUUUUGGAAUUGAGUUCUUUCAUCUCUACAAAUGGAAUACAUGAAUGGUAUAAAACAAUUGAAAGGAGCAGAAGAUUAGCCAACACGGAAGGAUCGCUUUUUGGACAUUCUAAGAGUUGUUCGACGCAGUUGAUAUCAUUGAGGGAAAGAUAAAAAAGCCGUCCCUCUCUGAGUUUCAACUGAAGCUGAAAAAGAAGAACUCAAGAAAAUCCGCGACUGAGGGUAGUGAAACAUGGGUGUUAUCCAAGACAAAUGAAAAACGGCUCAUUGUGUUUGAAAAAAAAGUCAGAAGAAAAAUAUUUGGACCAGUGCAGGAGGGAGAAAUGUGGAGAAUAAGGAUAAAUAGAGAGCUAAAGAUCACUAUACACUGGCCCAGAUAUUGUUGCAAUGGUUAAAGGAAGAAGCUUAAGUUGGAUAGGGCAUGAGCUAAGAAGAGAAAAAGGAACAAGACUGUAUGAAGUUUGGAGGCCACACCUGGAGGUAAACGUCCAUUGGGAAGGCCGAAGUUGAGAUGGACUGACAAAGUAUUGAACGACAUCAGGACAAUGGGUGCAAAUGUCAACUUGGCAGAGGACAGAGAAGGGUGGAAGAUGCGAAGGUAUACACGACAGAGGUACUUGAGGCAAAGAAUCAACUGAGAUUUGUGGAGCCACGGAAGUAAGUAAGUAAGUUUGAUAACAAGUUUUAGUUUGUCGUAAUGUCUUUAAAGAAAGAAACAGUUUUUUACCCUUGAAGAAGAUAAAAAGCUGAACAAGUUGCUCUUUAGAAACUUGUUUACCAUUUUUGGUAAAAAUAGGGGUACAAGAAAGUCUUCAGUGCAGCAAAAGUUGUUUGCACAAUUGGGCUUAUUUCGCCCAUGGAAAUCCUGUACUGAAAUAUCCUAAAAAAGCCUUCUUCUUGUCUUCUUACAAAUAUGUCGUGUGCUGCAACUUGUGGCACAAAUAAAAUGUCUUUCACUUGUUCGUCGUCAACUUCCUCAACGAAUAGGUAUUUCAAGAACAACUUCUUCUGCCUCAAACUCAUGGCACCACUUCAAUUGAAAGUCAGCAAACCAAUGAACAGAAUCGCUCUAGAACAAUCGCUUCAGGUACAAUAACAUGGUUAGCUAUUAUUGCUGAGCUAAUAUCGCUCAGCUACUAUCGCUCAACUACUUGUACUAUCGCAAGAGCCGCUUCAGGGAUAAUGGCCCUUAAAUAUGAAGAAAAAUAGAAUAAUAUCUAUUUUCUAAACUAGUUUUUUUCAUUCCUGUCUUAAUUUAACUCUUGUUAUAGAUGAUUUAGAGUGAAACGGUCAUUCACUGGGCAAGUCACCCUAUACAGUUUCUAGUUAACUAGAUUUUCCCUUAAACACCUCACAACUGUGAAUAAUUGAAGAAUCUUGUACAUCAAAAGACCAUUGCUAAUGUCACUGGCUUUGUAAAACCUGAGGCAUUGGUGUGUGAUGUCGUAAAGGAAGUUAAGGAUCUCUCCAAAGAUUUGAACGAAAAAGAUUGUCUGUUGGUCAGAGUUGGCACUAAUGACGUAGAAGAGAAAAGUGAAAACAGCAUAAAAGGAGAUGUCCAUACACUUUACUAACUAGAAUCAUUAAUUAAAUAAAGUUGAUUAUUGCAUUACUGCCUUUGCAUCAUGACUUGCCAAUAUUAGAAAUAUAAACAAUUGGCUCGUAGAAUCACUGAACAACUCUGUAGAAAAAUAACAUUACUAGAAUUAGAAUUCAACAGCACAAUCUAUAAUUUUAUCCUAUAAAUUAGGGGAUGAAAUUAAAAUUGAGUUUUCAAAAUUAGUAAAUCUGUAGGUUGUCCAUUAUUAAAUGAGAAUGGUGCCAAUACCAUUCGCAACUACUUUGUUAAACAAAGAACUGUGUAUAGUCUAUUAUUUUGAGAAUUCAAAAUACAAAAAUUAAGAAGAUUAUUGAGUUUUAAUAUUUUACUAGAGGUCGUCCAGUGGUCGAAAAUUCAACCAAAAAUAUGUAAUGUACAGACUUUUCUAUUUUCACCCCACACUGUAAAUAAAACAUGAGAUUAGAAUUUAUUCCAUUUGUUUUGAUUUUCUGUUUAUAUUUCGUUGUUAUUUUAUUACCAGCAAUGACAACCCAAAAAGCCCGUGUUAAUUUUUUAAAUUUCAAAUUCAUUUUUUGUGCUUAGCCUAUAUUUGAGCAUAUUUAACAAUUUUUAGCACUAAAUACAACAAUGGACAAAAAGCCCGUCUGUUGCGGCUGGCGCACCUGGUUAGCACUUGUACAACAAUUGACUAACGUAAACUGUUCUCAUAAAUCAGAUUGAAAAACAAAAAAACAUUAUUGUAUAGACACUGUUACCACCCUCGACCUAACAAAACAAAAUUUAAAUCAAUCUUUUGAUUUGAUUACACCAACCUACAGUAUCUAGCUAAAAUACUGUAUAUAGUACGUUGAAAAAACAAUGAGUUUGUCUUUAAUAUUAACAAAAAAAAUUUUGUGAGUUUACAAUAGGUUGUAGACAGAUUCAAUACCCUCCAUAAGCGCCAUUUAUUUCUGUCAUUCUCUCCUCAGGCUUGAGGAUCGGUGUAGUUAGCAGGAAUAUACUGACUGCUUUGUUUUGCAUGGCGAAUAUAAUCUACAGUAGUUGCAGUAUUACCAUUGACAACCAACACAAGUGUAGACUCAUUACAUUGUAAAAGUUAAAGAUAGUUUUUCAUGUCUAGUUCAUGUUGGUAACACUGAGGGCUUUUGUCAAAAAAAUUUUGUUUAUAUUAUUUUAGAAUUAUUUUACGAUUUAUGUUUUAAUUUCUUGUGAUAUAAAAACCCUAGUUCAAUAACCCUAGGCUCAAUAAACAAUAGGGGACGAGCUAUUGUUUUUGAUUAGGCCUUAAUAGUUUUAUUUGGUAAAACGAGGCUUUAAAUAACUGAAAUAACAAGAAUUGUCUUCAUUCAACUGAUGCAUAAAUAUGACAAAUCUACUAAAGGUGAUGUUUAACCUAUGGUAUCACGUACUGUAUGGAGUUUAUGUUUGGGCCAGAAAUAUGAAGCAACUGCGGCAGCAAUGGCCAUGCUUUGUUACAGGAAUACUUGCGGGUUAGUUUCGUUUCGGUCCCACAAACGUGAGUUCACUAUUUGAGACAUAAAACUGCUAAACGUGUUUAAGACAGCAUUUUGUUAAGGCUAGAACCAAGUAAAUUCUUCAAAAAGCUUACGAUGAUGAAAUUGCAUCGUGGAAUGGUGUUUUAGUAAUUGACAUAUUGGCUGGAUAGUUUUUAAUAAAGGUUUGUUGGAAAGUAAAUUUAACUAGAUUUAGGGACGGUAAAAUUAUUGGGCCUAGGGGCGCCAAAUCGCUUAAUCCAGCCCUGGCUCUACCUCUAAUACUACCAAUCCUUAUUGGUAGUGGGCUAUUUUUUUUUCCUUCACAUUUAGACUUAGUUUCAGGUACCCUGUUUAAGAUCAUGUAAUUUUGUAGGUCCAAGAUAACAGUAUUAAGUACAACACAUCUAUUAAAAUGGGCAAUACUAUUAAAUAUAAGAGUUUCUUUAAUCAAACAUAAAGAGGCAAAUGAUUAACUCACCACUCGCUGCUUCUCGACGCUGCUGACGAGUGCUGCGCUGCCGGGGGUUGUGUCAGAGAGGUUGACACCCCUGACUCCCUGCUCCAACCCCUGCAGGAUGACAGAGGCUCCGAGGAACUUGUUGAGGAGAGCUCUGGCCUCACGAUCAGCAUCUGUGUCUCCGCUCUCACUCACUGCCACAACAACAUGCAUACCGGUAACUCAAACCCAUCCAUAUGGACCAGUUGUAUAAUUUAAAAUUGAAAAAAUAAUUAGAGUGAGCUGCCAUCAAAGCUUUACUAUCUAUCUUAUUUUUGAUACUUUUAUCAUAUAUAUGACAUAAUAGACGCUAUAUUUUACAGUAUGGUGUCCUUUUAGUUCAAGUUAAAAAGUUGACGGGUUCAUUCAACAGAAAUCUGUAAAUUUACAUCAGACUCUGUCGGAGGCUCAACUACAGAGUACUCAUUUUCAUUCAAAAACUUACUUCAACUUUAAAAUAGUAAUGGAGUGUCUAGUUCACCCAUGAUCAAAAAUAAAGCUCAGUAACACUGAUAUUAUAAGAGGCAUGCAAAGUAAUUCAACCGUCUAUUAUGCAUAGUUGGUGACGCACCCGAGCCACGUCACUUUUUUAAUUCCAGUAAUAGACUGCAAGUCUGUUAAACUUGUUGAUUAAAGUUUAAAAAAAUUAAAAACUUUUAGUUAGUGUCCCCGCUAUCUAAUCAAUAUUUCAGUAUGCCCUAGUUCAACAAUUUUAAACUAUUUGUAUGACUUCGCAACUAGACAGAGCACAAUGGCACAAUGGGCCCUUGUUGCUUUAUAUUCAGAAGUCUGAUCAAGAGCAGAGUGAUCGAUUUACUUUAAAAAAUACCUCAACUACCUGUAUUUUCUCAACAAUAAAAAUUAUUUUCAUAUU